RNAcentral lists this ribosomal RNA (253 nucleotides) under uncultured bacterium. Its description in RNAcentral is "partial 16S ribosomal RNA". It matches the Rfam family "Bacterial small subunit ribosomal RNA", at positions 524 to 776 of the family's 1533-position model. The record is from RNAcentral.
UACAGAGGUCUCAAGCGUUGUUCGGAUUCAUUGGGCGUAAAGGGUGUGUAGGUGGCGCCGUAAGUCGGGUGUGAAAUUUCGGAGCUUAACUCCGAAACUGCAUUCGAUACUGCGGUGCUUGAGGACUGGAGAGGAGACUGGAAUUCAUGGUGUAGCAGUGAAAUGCGUAGAGAUCAUGAGGAAGACCAGUGGCGAAGGCGGGUCUCUGGACAGUUCCUGACACUGAGACACGAAGGCCAGGGGAGCAAACGUG